UGUGUUAGUGGAAGCGUCUGGAAAGGCGCGCGAUACAGGGUGACAGCCCCGUACACAAAAAUGCACAUGCUGUGAGCUCGAUGAGUAGGGCGGGACACGUGGUAUCCUGUCUGAAUAUGGGGGGACCAUCCUCCAAGGCUAAAUACUCCUGACUGACCGAUAGUGAACCAGUACCGUGAGGGAAAGGCGAAAAGAACCCCGGCGAGGGGAGUGAAAAAGAACCUGAAACCGUGUACGUACAAGCAGUGGGAGCACGCUUAGGCGUGUGACUGCGUACCUUUUGUAUAAUGGGUCAGCGACUUAUAUUCUGUAGCAAGGUUAACCGAAUAGGGGAGCCGAAGGGAAACCGAGUCUUAACUGGGCGUUAAGUUGCAGGGUAUAGACCCGAAACCCGGUGAUCUAGCCAUGGGCAGGUUGAAGGUUGGGUAACACUAACUGGAGGACCGAACCGACUAAUGUUGAAAAAUUAGCGGAUGACUUGUGGCUGGGGGUGAAAGGCCAAUCAAACCGGGAGAUAGCUGGUUCUCCCCGAAAGCUAUUUAGGUAGCGCCUCGUGAAUUCAUCUCCGGGGGUAGAGCACUGUUUCGGCAAGGGGGUCAUCCCGACUUACCAACCCGAUGCAAACUGCGAAUACCGGAGAAUGUUAUCACGGGAGACACACGGCGGGUGCUAACGUCCGUCGUGAAGAGGGAAACAACCCAGACCGCCAGCUAAGGUCCCAAAGUCAUGGUUAAGUGGGAAACGAUGUGGGAAGGCCCAGACAGCCAGGAUGUUGGCUUAGAAGCAGCCAUCAUUUAAAGAAAGCGUAAUAGCUCACUGGUCGAGUCGGCCUGCGCGGAAGAUGUAACGGGGCUAAACCAUGCACCGAAGCUGCGGCAGCGACGCUGAUGCGUUGUUGGGUAGGGGAGCGUUCUGUAAGCCUGCGAAGGUGUGCUGUGAGGCAUGCUGGAGGUAUCAGAAGUGCGAAUGCUGACAUAAGUAACGAUAAAGCGGGUGAAAAGCCCGCUCGCCGGAAGACCAAGGGUUCCUGUCCAACGUUAAUCGGGGCAGGGUGAGUCGACCCCUAAGGCGAGGCCGAAAGGCGUAGUCGAUGGGAAACAGGUUAAUAUUCCUGUACUUGGUGUUACUGCGAAGGGGGGACGGAGAAGGCUAUGUUGGCCGGGCGACGGUUGUCCCGGUUUAAGCGUGUAGGCUGGUUUUCCAGGCAAAUCCGGAAAAUCAAGGCUGAGGCGUGAUGACGAGGCACUACGGUGCUGAAGCAACAAAUGCCCUGCUUCCAGGAAAAGCCUCUAAGCAUCAGGUAACAUCAAAUCGUACCCCAAACCGACACAGGUGGUCAGGUAGAGAAUACCAAGGCGCUUGAGAGAACUCGGGUGAAGGAACUAGGCAAAAUGGUGCCGUAACUUCGGGAGAAGGCACGCUGAUAUGUAGGUGAAGUCCCUCGCGGAUGGAGCUGAAAUCAGUCGAAGAUACCAGCUGGCUGCAACUGUUUAUUAAAAACACAGCACUGUGCAAACACGAAAGUGGACGUAUACGGUGUGACGCCUGCCCGGUGCCGGAAGGUUAAUUGAUGGGGUCAGCGCAAGCGAAGCUCUUGAUCGAAGCCCCGGUAAACGGCGGCCGUAACUAUAACGGUCCUAAGGUAGCGAAAUUCCUUGUCGGGUAAGUUCCGACCUGCACGAAUGGCGUAAUGAUGGCCAGGCUGUCUCCACCCGAGACUCAGUGAAAUUGAACUCGCUGUGAAGAUGCAGUGUACCCGCGGCAAGACGGAAAGACCCCGUGAACCUUUACUAUAGCUUGACACUGAACAUUGAGCCUUGAUGUGUAGGAUAGGUGGGAGGCUUUGAAGUGUGGACGCCAGUCUGCAUGGAGCCGACCUUGAAAUACCACCCUU
RNAcentral lists this ribosomal RNA (1894 nucleotides) under Escherichia coli. RNAcentral describes it as "partial 23S ribosomal RNA". It matches the Rfam family "Bacterial large subunit ribosomal RNA", at positions 325 to 2207 of the family's 2925-position model. Lineage: Bacteria; Pseudomonadati; Pseudomonadota; Gammaproteobacteria; Enterobacterales; Enterobacteriaceae. The record is from RNAcentral.